AGUGAACGCUGGCGGUAGGCCUAACACAUGCAAGUCGAACGGCAGCACAAGAGAGCUUGCUCUCUGGGUGGCGAGUGGCGGACGGGUGAGGAAUACAUCGGAAUCUACUCUGUCGUGGGGGAUAACGUAGGGAAACUUACGCUAAUACCGCAUACGACCUACGGGUGAAAGCAGGGGACCUUCGGGCCUUGCGCGAUUGAAUGAGCCGAUGUCGGAUUAGCUAGUUGGCGGGGUAAAGGCCCACCAAGGCGCCGAUCCGUAGCUGGUCUGAGAGGAUGAUCAGCCAAACUGGAACUGAGACACGGUCCAGACUCCUACGGGAGGCAGCAGUGGGGAAUAUUGGACAAUGGGCGCAAGCCUGAUCCAGCCAUACCGCGUGGGUGAAGAAGGCUUUCGGGUUGUAAAGCCCUUUUGUUGGGAAAGAAAUCCAGCUGGCUAAUACCCGGUUGGGAUGACGGUACCCAAAGAAUAAGCACCGGCUAACUUCGUGCCAGCCGCCGCGGUAA
RNAcentral lists this ribosomal RNA (506 nucleotides) under uncultured bacterium. RNAcentral describes it as "partial 16S ribosomal RNA". It matches the Rfam family "Bacterial small subunit ribosomal RNA", at positions 29 to 523 of the family's 1533-position model. The record is from RNAcentral.